This 253-nucleotide ribosomal RNA is filed under the name uncultured bacterium. RNAcentral's name for it is "partial 16S ribosomal RNA". It matches the Rfam family "Bacterial small subunit ribosomal RNA", at positions 524 to 776 of the family's 1533-position model. The record is from RNAcentral.
UACGUAGGGUGCGAGCGUUAAUCGGAAUUACUGGGCGUAAAGCGUGCGCAGGCGGUUCGUUAAGUUCGUUGUGAAAGCCCCGGGCUCAACCUGGGAACUGCAAUGGAAACUGGCGGGCUUGAGUGUGGCAGAGGGGGGUGGAAUUCCUGGUGUAGCGGUGAAAUGCGCAGAUAUCAGGAGGAACACCGAUGGCGAAGGCAGGUCUCUGGGCCACUACUGACGCUGAGAAGCGAAAGCGUGGGGAGCGAACAGG